UUUGGUGGCACUGGCAGAGGGGAAACACCCGUUCCCAUUCCGAACACGGAAGUAAAGCCCUCUAGCGCCGAUGGUACUGCAGGGGUGACUCUGUGGGAGAGUAGGUCACUGCCAAGA
Molecule: ribosomal RNA, 117 nt
Filed under: Candidatus Coatesiibacteriota bacterium
Lineage: Bacteria; Candidatus Coatesiibacteriota
Source: RNAcentral